CAUGUAGGCGGUCAGGUAAGUGGAAUGUGAAAUGCCCCGGCUCACCCGGGGACCGGCAUCCCAAACUGCCUGGCUUGAGUAUGGGAGAGGAUGGAGGAAUUCCUGGUGUAGCGGUGAAAUGCGUAGAUAUCAGGAGGAACACCGGUGGCGAAGGCGUCCAUCUGGCCCAAUACUGACGCUGAGGCGCGAAAGCUAGGGGAGCAAACG
Molecule: ribosomal RNA, 207 nt
Filed under: uncultured Latescibacterota bacterium
Lineage: Bacteria; Pseudomonadati; Candidatus Latescibacterota
Description: uncultured Latescibacteria bacterium partial 16S ribosomal RNA
Rfam family: Bacterial small subunit ribosomal RNA
Source: RNAcentral